This 427-nucleotide ribosomal RNA is filed under the name uncultured bacterium. RNAcentral's name for it is "bacterial SSU rRNA". It matches the Rfam family "Bacterial small subunit ribosomal RNA", at positions 917 to 1344 of the family's 1533-position model. The record is from RNAcentral.
GGGCCCGCACAAGCGGUGGAGUAUGUGGUUUAAUUCGAUGCAACGCGAAGAACCUUACCAGGGUUUGACAUCCUGCGAAUCUCUUGGAAACAGGAGAGUGCCUUCGGGGAACGCAGUGACAGGUGGUGCAUGGCUGUCGUCAGCUCGUGUCGUGAGAUGUUGGGUUAAGUCCCGCAACGAGCGCAACCCACGUCGUUAGUUGCCAGCAUUUAGUUGGGCACUCUAGCGAGACCGCCGGUGAUAAACCGGAGGAAGGUGUGGAUGACGUCAAGUCAUCAUGCCCCUUACAUCCUGGGCUACACACGUACUACAAUGCUACGGACAAAGGGCAGCAAACUCGCGAGAGCUAGCAAAUCUCAUAAACCGUGGCUCAGUUCAGAUCGUAGGCUGCAACUCGCCUACGUGAAGGAGGAAUCGCUAGUAAUCG